UAAUAAAAAGUUUUGUACGAAUAUAUGAGCAUCUUAUUUGAUAUAUUCUUUUAAUUUAUCUAAAAAGUAUAUAAUAUUCAUUGGAUAAGGCGUGAAAUCAAAUUUCUAGACAAAAAUAUCACAUUCGGUCAUUAAGUCAUUUUCAAAAUAAAAUACAUUAUUUUAUUAAUAAAAUAUAUAUUUCUAUCAAAUCAUAAAUGCAUAAAAAAAUUUUCUUUCCAAAUAAAUUAUUUUGGCAUUCAAAGAAGGCCUUAGAUAAUAUUUAGGGCUUGUUUGGUUCAUCCAUUUUGGGUAUGAAAUGGGAAUCGAUUUGAUCAAAUCCGGUUAAUUUUGUUUGGUUCAUAUAAAUCGGUUUGGGAUUUCUAUUCCGGACUGGAAUGGGAAUGGCCCAUUAGCCUUCAACUUGAUUCCGGUCUUUUAGUCCGGAUUGAGAUUUCAUUACGGAAGCCCACCAAGUUCUCGAAGCCCAUUUGACCAUCUCACCCUCUUUCUCUUCACCCCUUUCUCAUCGAAAAAAAAAAAAAACCUAUCCUCUCUCAAAACCCUAUCCCUAACCCACAUCAAUAAAAGUUUUUAAAAAUAAAUUUGAUAUUUUUUUUGAAAAACUUAUUAGAGAAUAGUAUUAUAUUUUUCAUAAAUUUUAAAUAAUAUAAAUUUAUGUUUGAGAGUAAAAUUAGUAUUAUACUAUCCUAUAAUUUUUUUAGUUUAUACGAACCAAAUAAUAAAAUGUGAAUAACUCAUUCCAAUUCCCAAUCUACAAAUAAAUCAAACGCCUUGGGGGAGUGAGCCAUUCCAAUUAUCAUUCUAAUUUAUUCCCAUUCCAUUAUCCAUUCCAAUUUCAUCCUUUAACCAAACAAGCUCUUAUAUUAAAGCCUUUAAUAAGGUCGGCCAAAAAUUACUUGUCAAGUCUUAUAUGUAAAAAAGUUCUAACAUUUAUUUGUAUACAUGCACACGUAAAAAUAUAUAUAUAUAUAUAGGGAAAACUUCAAAAACCCCCCCUGUGGUUUCAUGCAUUCUCACUUUAGUACCCUGUGGUUUAAAACGUAUCAAUUUGCCCCCCUGUGGUUUCGUUUUUAUCUUUUCAGAAGCUUUUUCGUUAAUAUUUCGUUAAAUUAUAUACAAAAAACUUCAGAUAACCAUCUAUGUUUAUCGAAUAUUCACUUUAGUAUCCUUUAAUUUUAAUUUUGUCACUGAUUUAAAAAAUAAUAAUAAUAAUAAAAUUGAUAACAAAAAGAGAAAAAUGAAACCACGGGGGGGCAAAUUGAUACGUUUUAAACCACAGGGUAUGAAAGUGAGAAUGCAUGAAACCACAGGGGGGUUUUUGAAGUUUUCCCAUAUAAUAAUAUAUAAUAUAUAUAUAUAUAUAUAUAUAUGUAUAUUAUAUAUAUAUAUCUAACUGUAUAUAUAUAUAUAUAUAUAUAUAUAUAACGAUCUGUAAUAAAUUUUAUUUGCAUCCAACAAUAAAAUGAGGGUAAAAAUGUUUAUAAACGACAUGGACUAUGAAUUAUUUUGGUUCGACUAUCCAAUUUUUAAUAAAAUUUCAAUAUUGUUACUUAACUUUUUAUUUAUUUGAUUUGAGCUAGUUGAUAAUAUUUUUAUUUUAACAUUUGCAUACUUUACCGACCGUUCCUAGAGCAAGUGGCAAAGGGCUUGGUGAUUGGUACCCAAGACCCAAGUUCGAAUUCUAGUUGAUUCACAUUUUCAGCUAAGUUUAUUUCUAAAUGAAAUAAACGAAGCGGGUAGCGUGCUACCUAUCUCUGUAAAAAAAAAAAAAACAUGCCUUAUCUUUAUUUGCUUGAUUAACACAUUUUAUAUAAUUUAUGUGACUAUAAUUUUAUUAAAAUAAGUUAUAAACCAAAAUUUUUUAUUGGAAGAACCAUUUAAAUCAAACAAAUUAAUAAGUUAUUAUCAAGAUUUAAAUUUUAAAAAUUUGAAUACUCUGGUCAAAAUUUACAUGUUUACUUCGAAAUAAAAUAUAUUCAUGAACAUUGGUCAUAUCACAUAUACGUGUCCUCGGUGAUUAAGUCAUUUUGAGUUUCGAACAACUCAAUUGAUCGAGUUAACCUAGUUUGACCGAGUUUGACUUCAAAUCUAGGGCACGCCGAUUUUACGUCGACUCAUAAUGGUCAAAUCGAAAGUGGGAGAGAAACCGCCUAGUUAGCCUAAAAUUGAUAUUAAAAAAUAAUAAUAAUAAAUUCUCAGCUCGUGAGAAAUCACCUUUUAAAGCCAAUAUAUUUGAACACAAAUCCAUAUUUAUUAAAGUUUCAAUCCUAAAAAAAAAAUCUAUAUAUCUAGCUAGCAAACUCUUUAAUUAAUUACAUACUCUUAUCUCAUACGUAUUUUACAGAGUCCGCGUACUUCUCGAACAUAUAUAUAUAUAUAUAUAUAUAUAUAUAUAGAGAGAGAGAGAGAGAGAGUUCGGCUACUGUACUCUUAUGUGUACGAUCGCGUUCGUACUCAUAAGUUAUUUUCGAUGAUAGAGCUUGCGAAUCGACAAUCCAUACCGUUAAAUAUUAUCUAGAGUAUUUAAAACUUCUAGAAAUCAAAUUUUAUAAUUUUUCAAUAUCAUUAACCUUGCGAUCAAAAACUCACAAAAUUGACAAUUUUUAACGGCCGGUAUGAAAUAUUUGCUAGUUUAACGGUGUAAAAAAAUUAGAAUAGGUUGAAUUUUUGAUAGAAAAUUUUAUUCACUAUCUAAAUAAAUAUUAAUAACUCCGAUCUUCAAUUGAAAGAUCCGAUCAUCCAUUUUUCGGAUGUCGUUCGAUUUUAACCGUUCAUUUUAUACCCACUUAAUAGACUUUAUAAUAAUUUCGAAAAAUUACGAAAUUUAUUUUCUAGAAGUUUCGAAUAUUCUAGAUUAUGUUUAACGGUGUCGAUCGUCGAUUCAAAAAUCCCAACAUCAAAAACAACUUAUGAGUACGAAGGGCUCUAUACUCAUAAGAGUAAAAUAGCUCUAGUAUAUAUAUAUAUAUAUAUAUAUAUAGAGGAGUAGAAAAUAAGCAUACUUGGCCAUCUCAAUCACUGUGAUAAAGGAAAAGACGCAGAAAAAAAGCUUUAGGUCCCGUUUGGUUGGGGGGAUAAGCGGGGAUAACGAAAGUUAUCUCCGCUAUUCCGCCAAACGGGGUAAAAUUUGGCCGGAAUAUUUUAUCCCGGUCAAACCUUGCUAUUCUCGGUUAUCCCGGAAUAGCAAGGGAUUUGCUAUUCCACCAUUUUGGUGGAAUAGUGCUAUUCCAAUGCUUAAUUUCAAACUUAAUUAAACUUAUAAAUUGAAUUAAAACUAAAUUAUAUAAAUAUAAUAUGUUAUAUAUUAUAAUACAAUAUUUUUAUUAUAAAAUUAUUAAUUGUACUAUAUUAAUACAUAUUAUUUAUAUUUAAAUAUUAUAAUAAAAUUUAUAAUAAAUUAUAUUUAAAUAUUAUAAUAAAUUCUUUUUAUUAAAUUUAAGUUUAAGUAGAAUUUUAAAAAAAUUUAUAAAUUUAUUAUAAUAAAUUAUUUUUAUUAAUUGUUCCCACCCCUAUUCUUAUUUUAAAAUUUUAAAAAUUAAAAAUUUAAAUUGUUAAAAUUUAUAAUUUAUAAUCUCAAAAUUAAAGUUUAUAAUUUUAAAUUUUAAAUUUUAAAAUUAAAUUUUGAUAUUUUAAUUUUGAAAUUUAAAAUUUUAUAUUUUAUAUUUUUCAAAUUUAAAUUUGAUCUUAAAUUUAAAGUUUGAAAUUUAAAAUUUAAAAUUUUGAAUUUAAAAUUUGAGAUUUUAAAUUUCAAAAUUUGAAAUUUCAAAGUUAAAAUUUUAAAUUUAAAAAUAUAUAUUUAAAAAUUUAAAAAUUUAAAUUCAAAUAUAAUAAGAGGAUAAUAUAAUUAUUUUUUAUUUAUAAAACCCACUAUCUUUCUUAUUCCAUCUUACCUAACCAAACGCUAUUUUUUUUAUUCGCAGGAAUAAUCCAAUUUUCAUCCAAACGCAAAAUUGAUCUAAUCCCCGCUUAUACCUCAAUUUAUACCUAUCUCUGGAAUAGUCAUUUUUUUCUUAUCCUCGAACCAAACGAUACCUUAGAGUUCAUUCCAGCACCUUGUUUGUGCUUCCCUAUCGCGGGACAUAUACCAGGUUUCUGAAGAUCUCUUUAAUAUAUAGAUAUGCGCCCCUCUUCGUGGUCGAUCCUUCCUGGGUACUGGGUUCGCUGGCGAUCCGAUGUCAUCAAGCGCGCGGAAAUCGGUUGUCCGCAGCUUCUCUAAUUGGCUCGUCCGUUGAUGCACGCCUCUCGUGAUCUUGGUUGAUCCUUCCUCGGUUUGCCUGCGAUCCAACAACAUCGACGCUAGGACGAAGUCUAUGAUCUUGGUUCAUCCGUGAUGUGACAUCUGCAUCUUGACCUCCGUUCUUUCCGCUGUCGUCUUUCUUGUUGUGAGCUUUCUUUAUCGGAGAGGAGGGCUUGUAGUCUGCUGCUGUGCUGCUGAUGGAAUAAUCCGGAUUAACUUUCGCCUCUUGUUCGACCUUUUCACUCUUUUUGUCAGCUUCUUUUCUUGCAGCAUCAAACUUUCCAGGUUCCUGAGGUGAGGACUUAUUAUCACCUGCUGCGUCUGGUGUUUUCACUCCAUUCGUCGCCGAGCUCGGAAGUCCGUUCAUUGCAGGGCUCAGAAGUUGUCCCGAAAGUGGCGGCAUUUGCACGGUGUGGCUGCUUGGUGGCUUGGCCACGGGUUGGCUGGCAGGAGUUCCAUCGUCAGCGUCAUCACCCCCACAACAGAGGAACUUCAGACACAUACUAUAUAGUGUAAUCUCUCUCUCUCUCUCUCUCUCUACCCAAGUUAAGGGAGUUUUGAGGUUA
Molecule: long non-coding RNA, 4806 nt
Filed under: Ananas comosus (pineapple)
Lineage: Eukaryota; Viridiplantae; Streptophyta; Magnoliopsida; Poales; Bromeliaceae
Description: long non-coding RNA (ACOM_LNC019617)
Source: RNAcentral